GGAUGCGAUCAUACCAGCAAUAAAGCACCGGAUGCCAUCAGAACUCCGAAGUUAAGCGUGCUUGGGCGAGAGUAGUACUAGGAUGGGUGACCUCCUGGGAAGUCCUCGUGUUGCAUUCC
Molecule: ribosomal RNA, 119 nt
Filed under: Triticum aestivum (bread wheat)
Lineage: Eukaryota; Viridiplantae; Streptophyta; Magnoliopsida; Poales; Poaceae
Source: RNAcentral